AAAAUAUGCACGCGCUUUAUCAAUCAGAUUUCCACGCAAGAGUGCUCUGCUUGCCCCUGGAGGAACCCUGGGCAAUCUUAUUCCCUGAAGCUCGGGCCCCUGCUGCACUCGAUCUUUGCAGCGUUGGCCUCUGGGCCCCCUCCCGCUUAGUUCCCAGAUAAAAGCAGCCCGGCCGCACCUGCCUUGCCUGUGCAAACUCUGCAAGACUCUAACGCCAUCAGCCCCGGUCUGAUUGCAGCCGCCGGUCCACAGCCCCCAAUCAUUCACAACGCCAAUUAGCCCGCGCCGCGUCCUCCGGCGGGGCGGGGGCGAACGCGCGGGAGUCCAUUUCCAGCGUCCUGACGCCACCUGAGUCCCGCACGCGGUAAUGCGGGCUUCCAAGGGCAAGGCCGCCGCCGGUCCCUCCGUGCCAGCGCAUUUCCCUUUCUUCCAGCUUCGAGAACAACUGAAGUGUGGUGAGAGAAGUGACUCUGAAAAGUCUGCUUCAAAAGGACCCAACAUUUGCUGGCACACUGGCAGGCACCUGUAAUCCCAGCAACUCCAGAGGCUGAAACGAGAGGAUCCCUUGAGCCUGGAAGUUUGAGGCUGCAAUAAGCUAUGAUGGUGUCACUGCACUCCAGCAUGGGUGAUAGGGUAAGACCCCAUCUCUUAAAAAAAAAAAAGAGGGCCCAAUACUAGAAAUGUUCAAUGUGUGAUCUGAAGAUUUCAAUCUUUGAGUUGUCAAGAAGAGGAAAUUUUAACUACUGCAGAACUCAAUUUUUAUUUAACUUGUAACAUUUUAAAAAGAAAGUGUUAAUAAGGAUUUUGGUUUGGUGUCAUGAAAACAAGCUGCAGUUCUGCACGUUAGCCCAACUUCAGAACUCAGACUUAAGUACAUCAACCCGAACAGGUUUACCCUAGCUGUGGCCUUAAGCAAGACCUUCUUGAGGGGCUGAAUCAAUACUGAAGUGCUCCGGGGAGCCUCUCCCAGAGAUCCCCUGGAGAUUUUAUGGGCCUCAUUAAGCCCAAAGACAGAAAACAAAUUUCCCUGUAGGGUAGAGUUCCUUAUACCAAACCUUUUACUCUGCGCCUGCAAUUGUAAGCCUUGUUUACUGUUUGAAGACUAUGACCUUAUAUUUUAAAUGUUAGUGUGUUUGAGUAAUAGCACCAGCCUAGAUGUACCAAUACUACUUCUCUAGAAUGAUACUCAUAUAAGUUAAAUGUCAAUAUAUUCACACUUUAUAUUAGUUUGUUUUCACAUUGCUAUAAAGAUACUACCCACCACUGGGUAAUUUACAAGCAAAGGAGGUUUAGUUGAUUCACAGUUCCACAUGGCUGGAGAGGCCUCAGGAAACUUACAAUCAUGGCAGAAGUGUAAGCAGGCAUGUAUUACAUGGUGGCGGGAGAAGGAAGCAUGAAGGAGGAACUUCCAAACACUUCCAAAACCACCAGAUUUCAUGAGGACUCACUCACUAUCAUGGUAACAGCAUGGUAGAAACCACCCCCAUAAUUUAAUCGCCUCCCUCCUUUGACAUGUGGGGAUUCCAUGUCCCUCCUUUGGCAUGUGGGAAUUACAAUUUGAGAUGAUACUUUGGGGAAAGGACACAGAGUCAGACCAUAUCACACUCCCAUCUCAACUGACUGACUGACUUCUCUGGGUUAGUCUUCUGGGACCUUUCUAUGUGUACAAAAAUAUAGCUUCUAUCCUAGAGUUUUAUCUGUUUAUGUAUUUAUCAUGUAUCUCCCCAGAAGACUGCCAGUUUCAUAAGGAAACAACAGUGUUUUGUUCAUCCUGUGCACCCUAGCACGGUGUUUGCCACACAAUGGGUAUGCAGUAAAUAUUUGUGAAGUGAAUAAAUGAGUAAAUGUGCAGACGCACUUGUUGGGAUCACAUUUACAUGCCUGUGAGAAUGGAAGAAAGGGCCUAGGAAGAGGAAAGGGUAGAAGAUUAAUUCUUUUACCUAUCAAGUUAUGAGUUUGCA
Molecule: long non-coding RNA, 1961 nt
Organism: Callithrix jacchus (white-tufted-ear marmoset)
Lineage: Eukaryota; Metazoa; Chordata; Mammalia; Primates; Cebidae
Source: Ensembl